Molecule: ribosomal RNA, 601 nt
Filed under: uncultured bacterium
Lineage: Bacteria
Description: bacterial SSU rRNA
Rfam family: Bacterial small subunit ribosomal RNA (bases 1-513)
Source: RNAcentral
CCUACGGGAGGCAGCAGUGGGGAAUAUUGCACAAUGGGCGGAAGCCUGAUGCAGCGACGCCGCGUGAGGGAUGACGGCCUUCGGGUUGUAAACCUCUUUCAGUAGGGAAGAAGCGUAAGUGACGGUACCUGCAGAAGAAGCGCCGGCUAACUACGUGCCAGCAGCCGCGGUAAUACGUAGGGCGCAAGCGUUAUCCGGAAUUAUUGGGCGUAAAGAGCUCGUAGGCGGUUUGUCGCGUCUGCCGUGAAAGUCCGGGGCUCAACUCCGGAUCUGCGGUGGGUACGGGCAGACUAGAGUGAUGUAGGGGAGACUGGAAUUCCUGGUGUAGCGGUGAAAUGCGCAGAUAUCAGGAGGAACACCGAUGGCGAAGGCAGGUCUCUGGGCAUUAACUGACGCUGAGGAGCGAAAGCAUGGGGAGCGAACAGGAUUAGAUACCCUGGUAGUCCAUGCGUAACGUAGGCGACUAGUGUGGGACGAUCUACGUUCCGUCGCGUGCUACGCAUAGUGCCCGCCGUGGGAGGUACGGCCGGCGAGGACGUAAACGUUAAAGGUAAGUUAGUUACGGCGUGAGACGUGCCGACGGCGACGACGAGGGAGGAGG